AGUGAACGCUGGCGGUAGGCCUAACACAUGCAAGUCGAACGGCAGCACAGUAAGAGCUUGCUCUUACGGGUGGCGAGUGGCGGGCGGGUGAGGAAUACAUCGGAAUCUACUUUUUCGUGGGGGAUAACGUAGGGAAACUUACGCUAAUCCCGCAUACGACCUACGGGUGAAAUCAGGGGAUCUUCGGACCUUGCGCGAUUGAAUGAGCGGAUGUCGGAUUAGCCAGUUGGCGGGGUAAAGGCCCACCAAGGCGACGAUCCGUAGCUGGUCUGAGAGGAUGAUCAGCCACACUGGAACUGAGACACGGUCCAGACUCCUACGGGAGGCAGCAGUGGGGAAUAUUGGACAAUGGGCGCAAGCCUGAUCCAGCCAUACCGCGUGGGUGAAGAAGGCCUUCGGGUUGUAAAGCCCUUUUGUUGGGAAAGAAAAGCAGCAGGUUAAUACCCCGCUGUUCUGACGGUACCCAAAGAAUGAGCACCGGCUAACUUCGUG
Molecule: ribosomal RNA, 492 nt
Filed under: uncultured bacterium
Lineage: Bacteria
Description: partial 16S ribosomal RNA
Rfam family: Bacterial small subunit ribosomal RNA
Source: RNAcentral